Molecule: ribosomal RNA, 1035 nt
Filed under: Fusarium oxysporum
Lineage: Eukaryota; Fungi; Ascomycota; Sordariomycetes; Hypocreales; Nectriaceae
Description: eukaryotic LSU rRNA
Rfam family: Eukaryotic large subunit ribosomal RNA (bases 602-1035)
Source: RNAcentral
CACUAUGGCUCGUGAGGCGUCCGGACUGGCCCAGAGAGGUGGGCAACUACCACUCAGGGCCGGAAAGCUCUCCAAACUCGGUCAUUUAGAGGAAGUAAAAGUCGUAACAAGGUCUCCGUUGGUGAACCAGCGGAGGGAUCAUUACCGAGUUUACAACUCCCAAACCCCUGUGAACAUACCACUUGUUGCCUCGGCGGAUCAGCCCGCUCCCGGUAAAACGGGACGGCCCGCCAGAGGACCCCUAAACUCUGUUUCUAUAUGUAACUUCUGAGUAAAACCAUAAAUAAAUCAAAACUUUCAACAACGGAUCUCUUGGUUCUGGCAUCGAUGAAGAACGCAGCAAAAUGCGAUAAGUAAUGUGAAUUGCAGAAUUCAGUGAAUCAUCGAAUCUUUGAACGCACAUUGCGCCCGCCAGUAUUCUGGCGGGCAUGCCUGUUCGAGCGUCAUUUCAACCCUCAAGCACAGCUUGGUGUUGGGACUCGCGUUAAUUCGCGUUCCUCAAAUUGAUUGGCGGUCACGUCGAGCUUCCAUAGCGUAGUAGUAAAACCCUCGUUACUGGUAAUCGUCGCGGCCACGCCGUUAAACCCCAACUUCUGAAUGUUGACCUCGGAUCAGGUAGGAAUACCCGCUGAACUUAAGCAUAUCAAUAAGCGGAGGAAAAGAAACCAACAGGGAUUGCCCUAGUAACGGCGAGUGAAGCGGCAACAGCUCAAAUUUGAAAUCUGGCUCUCGGGCCCGAGUUGUAAUUUGUAGAGGAUACUUUUGAUGCGGUGCCUUCCGAGUUCCCUGGAGCGGGACGCCAUAGAGGGUGAGAGCCGCGUCUGGUUGGAUGCCAAAUCUCUGUAAAUGUCCUUCUUUGAGUCGAGUAGGUUGGGAAUGCUGGUCUAAAUGGGAGGGAUAUGUCUUCUCCCCCUAAAUACCACCUGAGGACGGUAGCGGGGAGGUAGAGUGGUCGGGGGAUCUAUUGGAGGGCCUCUUGAGGGUCCCACAGCCCACCCCUUUCGUUUAAUGGAAGGGGGUUUUUUGGGGUGCUCG